AUAGGUGUUCCACAGAUUUAGUGUCUAAUAGCUAAUAGCUGUGAUUUUUCUAGUCAGAGGUCCAUUGUUGGGAACAGAAAAAGAACAGAGCAGAACAAUUUUGGUCAAGUUAUUUUGUUUGUCUGGAACCCAAGAAAUGCCUCUUGGCUUUAUUGGACUUAACUUAUAACUCCUAGGAUAAGAGAUUCAAACCAGAAAUAAUUUUGUCCCCUGAAGUGGGCUGAAUGGUGGCUCCACAAAAAGAUAAGUCCUAACUCCUGGAAUCUGUGAAUAUUACCUUAUUUGGAAAAAGGGUCUUUGCAGAUGUAAUUAAUAAGUUAAGGAUCUCAAGAUGCGGUCAACCUGGAUUGACCUAAAUCUGCUGACCAGUGUCUUUAUAAGAGAAAAGCAGAGGGAGAGAAGGCCACGUGAAGAUGAGGCAGAGAUUGGAGAGGUGCUGCCACAAGCCAAGAAACACCAGGAGCCACUGGAAACUGGAAGCAGCAAGUGAGACUUCUCCCCCAGAGCCUUUGGAGGGAGCGCAGCUCUGCUGACACCUUGACUUUGGAUUUCUGACCUCUGGAACCGAGAAAAGCAUGCACAUUUAAUGUAAGUUCACAUUAAAAAGCAUACACAUUUUUUAAUGUAAGUUUGGGUGAUGCCGGAGCCCUCCUAAGGAAAUGAAGACCUGGAGAAGAGGCAAAACCUGAAUGCUUUAUGUGCUGGGUCGGACGAAGCAGCAAUGUGGAAAGUGCAGCCUUCUGAACUGAAAGAGAGAAAAGGAACAUGAGAAAACUCUUUUUCCACAUGUUGUUCUGGUUUGGAG
Molecule: non-coding RNA, 805 nt
Organism: Kogia breviceps (pygmy sperm whale)
Lineage: Eukaryota; Metazoa; Chordata; Mammalia; Artiodactyla; Physeteridae
Source: RefSeq, a predicted model, not a curated record